GUGGUCACAGUUGGCGCCAGCC
RNAcentral lists this microRNA (22 nucleotides) under Mus musculus (house mouse). Its description in RNAcentral is "mmu-miR-3073a-5p". The record is from miRBase by way of RNAcentral. Lineage: Eukaryota; Metazoa; Chordata; Mammalia; Rodentia; Muridae.